This is a non-coding RNA of Manacus vitellinus (golden-collared manakin), 46 nucleotides long. NCBI's taxonomy places the organism in Eukaryota, Metazoa, Chordata, Aves, Passeriformes, Pipridae. The record is from Rfam.
GGUUUGGUUUUUUUUAAAACCAUCCAUUUUUCAACAAAGAUGUUAU